CGUAGGCAGCAAGCGUUGUUCGGAGUUACUGGGCGUAAAGGGUGUGUUAGGCGGUUAUUUAAGUUUGGUGUGAAAUCUCCCGGCUCAACCGGGAGGGUGCGCCGAAUACUGAAUGACUUGGAGUGCGGGAGAGGAAAGUGGAAUUCCUGGUGUAGCGGUGAAAUGCGUAGAUAUCAGGAGGAACACCGGUGGUGUAGACGGCUUUCUGGACCGUAACUGACGCUGAGACACGAAAGCGUGGGUAGCAAACAGGAUUAGAUACCCUGGUAGUCCACGCCCUAAACGAUGCAUAUUUGGUGUGGGCAGUUCAUUCUGUCCGUGCCGGAGCUAACGCGUUAAAUAUGCCGCCUGGGGAGUACAGUCGCAAGGCUG
Molecule: ribosomal RNA, 372 nt
Filed under: uncultured organism
Description: bacterial SSU rRNA
Rfam family: Bacterial small subunit ribosomal RNA
Source: RNAcentral